UACGUAGGGAGCAAGCGUUGUCCGGAAUCAUUGGGCGUAAAGCGCGCGUAGGUGGCCCCAUAAGUCCGCUGUGAAAGUCAAAGGCUCAACCUUUGAAAGCCGGUGGAUACUGUGGGACUAGAGUACGGAAGAGGCGAGUGGAAUUCCUGGUGUAGCGGUGGAAUGCGCAGAUAUCAGGAAGAACACCCGUGGCGAAGGCGGUUCUCUGGGACGGUACUGACGCUGAGACGCGAAAGCGUGGGGAGCGAACAGG
Molecule: ribosomal RNA, 253 nt
Filed under: uncultured bacterium
Lineage: Bacteria
Description: partial 16S ribosomal RNA
Rfam family: Bacterial small subunit ribosomal RNA
Source: RNAcentral